This is a long non-coding RNA of Mauremys reevesii (Reeves's turtle), 1561 nucleotides long. RefSeq lists it as uncharacterized. The record is from RefSeq and is a predicted model, not a curated record. The transcript is spliced from 4 exons. Lineage: Eukaryota; Metazoa; Chordata; Testudines; Geoemydidae.
GCCUCAGGACCUCCUGGCCAGCACCCCGUUACACUGCUAUAUGAAAAUGCAAAAUAUUUUUAAGGUCAGUCAGUGAAAGGGGCAGGAUUUAGCCCUACAUUAACACUGCUGUUGUGAAGUACAGUUCAAGUAUUAAACCAUGGCAAACUGCACAGAGCAACUGCAGCAUCUUAUGUCAGCAAGGAAAGGAGAAUGCUGAGUCUUACUGGAACUGCAGGCAGAAUUUAAGCACAAUAAGCACAAGAGGCAAGCUGGAUCUAGCACUGCCUGCUUAAUGCUGAAGUCCAAUCCUGCAACUCUUGCUAACAUGAGAAGUUCUCACUUUCAGGAUUACUCUCAUGAAUAAAUUAUACUAGUGAUGCCAAUGAGAUUGCACUGACACGAGUGAGAAGAAUUUGGACCAUAACUUGCAAAUCCUGGGCAAUGAAGUGUGAAUGCGCAUGAUCAAGCCAGACAGCCAUGCACAGAAUGAGAUGGGUAUGAUACUCUUCAACGCAGGUGUAGACAUGAUUAUUUUGGCACCACAAAAACUCUGGGAAGGAAGGAUGGAGCUUUCAUUGAAACUGGCUAACAAUGAAGGACUAUGCUAACCAGCUCUAAACCAGUUGGGCUUUGGAAAGGUCUGUUCUCCGAGUCCUUAUUACUGAAGCACAGUAAAUAUGAUGUCCAUUGGACUGUUUUUUUUUUCCCCACACAGUACAAUUGUGAUGCUCUCCUCAGGACAACCAGAACCAUAAGCCACUGUGUAAUCCCUCUGCCUCAGCGAGGAAGAGUUUUGCUUAAACUGAGUGUCAUCUGCUUGCCACACCAGUCGAUCCUCCUUUAUACCCAAUCCUCCUCACCAGCAACUCCACAAGUCUCUGCCAGUCUAAAUCUUGCCUUGGAGGUAACAACCAGUGAUUCCCCAGAGAUGUCUCUGCAGCGUCUAGACCCUCUCACUGGACACUCUCAGAAAUUAUUAAGUUUGCUGUUUCCAAAGAGAGACAGUGCACAGCCCAGCCUGUUAGGUUUGCGAAGGACUCACUCUUUACUUCAGUGUAAUGGCACUGAGAUGGUUUAUUGUAAAACCAAGAAUAAAUUUAUUAAUAAAAAACAGAUUUAAGUGAUACCAAACAAGGAUAAAGGAGAUAGAAAAGGGUUACAGACAAAACAAAACAAACAUCCUUUCUAGUGCCUACAAUUUCAUUCUAACAAGCUAUGUCAUUGCCCAGCAUCCACAUAUCAAGCUAACAAGCAUCUCUAGCCCUUCCUGGUAGGAGGAUCCAAUGUUCUCAGAAUCAGAGGGUGUUGUCCUCAAGAGCCAGGAAGACUUUCUGGGAGUACUGACUCUGCUCCCUGGUGUGCUCACUACACUACUUCCUCCAUUGCUUGUUAGCGUGAUUGCUUUGUUUACACGAUAUGUAAAUAUACUUUCAUAGUCAUCGGUUUGUAAGCAAGCCAGUCACACACACACAUCCACAGUCCUUUGUCUAUGGCAGGCUUGCCUUAUGCACUGCUUCCCGAACACAUUUUAGGAACAUAUUUCCAGCACACAUACACAACUCUUUAUACACAAGCCAUA